This 268-nucleotide long non-coding RNA is filed under the name Helianthus annuus (common sunflower). RNAcentral describes it as "sRNA HanXRQr2_Chr10g0437061". The record is from RNAcentral. Lineage: Eukaryota; Viridiplantae; Streptophyta; Magnoliopsida; Asterales; Asteraceae.
CCCUCUAGCGUUGCUUGGUUGUUAUUCAAGACUUCUAAGCAUCCUCAAGUGAGUACAUAGUCCCCUCUUUACCGUUUUCAUUGUUUUGGGAUGAAAUGUGUGCUGCUUUGUUGAUACAUGCUAUACAUAGGAUGGAUUCGUGCCUUAGCGACUUUAAACUUGAAAGACAACAUUUGUAUUCAUUUGAUUUGUAAUAAAACGAUGAGUUCAAUAAUUCAAUAAAACAAAAUUAUUUAAUCCAUGGUUGUGAAACAAUGAUUCUAUUACA